AGAUUGAACGCUGGCGGCAGGCCUAACACAUGCAAGUCGAGCGGCAGCACGGGUACUUGUACCUGGUGGCGAGCGGCGGACGGGUGAGUAAUGCCUAGGAAUCUGCCUGAUAGGUGGGGAUAACGUUCGGAAACGGACGCUAAUACCGCAUACGUCCUACGGGAGAAAGUGGGGAUCUUCGGACCUCACGCUAUCAGAUGAGCCUAGGUCGGAUUAGCUAGUUGGUAGGUAAAGCCUACGAGCUACGAUCCGUAACUGGUCUAGAGAGGAUGAUCAGUCACACGUGGAACUGACGACACGGUCCAGACCUCCG
Molecule: ribosomal RNA, 313 nt
Filed under: uncultured soil bacterium
Lineage: Bacteria
Description: bacterial SSU rRNA
Rfam family: Bacterial small subunit ribosomal RNA
Source: RNAcentral